Molecule: ribosomal RNA, 253 nt
Filed under: uncultured bacterium
Lineage: Bacteria
Description: partial 16S ribosomal RNA
Rfam family: Bacterial small subunit ribosomal RNA
Source: RNAcentral
UACGUAGGGGGCAAGCGUUGUCCGGAUUUAUUGGGCGUAAAGAGCGUGUAGGCGGCUUUGCAAGUCCGUUGUGAAAACUCGAGGCUCAACCUCGAGACGCCGGUGGAAACUGCAAAGCUAGAGUCCGGAAGAGGAGAGUGGAAUUCCUGGUGUAGCGGUGAAAUGCGCAGAUAUCCGGAAGAACACCCGUGGCGAAGGCGGCUCUCUGGGACGGUACUGACGCUGAGACGCGAAAGCGUGGGGAGCGAACAGG